UCAUGGCUCAGGAUGAACGCUAGCUACAGGCUUAACACAUGCAAGUCGAGGGGCAGCGAGAGUGUAGCAAUACACUGUCGGCGACCGGCGCACGGGUGAGUAACGCGUAUCCAACCUGGCCCUUAGUAGGGGAUAGCCCGGCGAAAGUCGGAUUAAUACCCUAUGUUCUCCUUUGAGAGCAUUUGAUGAGGAGCAAAGAUUUAUCGCUAGGGGAUGGGGAUGCGUCCGAUUAGGCAGCAGGCGGGGUGACGGCCCACCUGGCCGACGAUCGGUAGGGGUUCUGAGAGGAAGGUCCCCCACACUGGUACUGAGACACGGACCAGACUCCUACGGGAGGCAGCAGUGAGGAAUAUUGGUCAAUGGGCGCGAGCCUGAAACCCAGCCAAGUAGCGUGAGGGACGACGGCCCUACGGGUUGUAAACCUCUUUUGCCGGGGAAUAAAGUGCGCCACGCGUGGCGUUUUGUAUGUACCCGGAGAAUAAGGACCGGCUAAUUCCGUGCCAGCCGCGGC
Molecule: ribosomal RNA, 511 nt
Filed under: uncultured bacterium
Lineage: Bacteria
Description: bacterial SSU rRNA
Rfam family: Bacterial small subunit ribosomal RNA
Source: RNAcentral